This 522-nucleotide ribosomal RNA is filed under the name Eleutherodactylus atkinsi (Atkin's robber frog). RNAcentral's name for it is "partial 12S ribosomal RNA". It matches the Rfam family "Bacterial small subunit ribosomal RNA", at positions 779 to 1522 of the family's 1533-position model. The record is from RNAcentral. Lineage: Eukaryota; Metazoa; Chordata; Amphibia; Anura; Eleutherodactylidae.
UAGAUACCCCACUAUGCCUGCCGUAAACUUUAACUUACACCUCAAUCGUCAGGGAACUACGAGCAAAGCUUAAAACCCAAAGGACUUGACGGUGCCCCAUAUCCCCCUAGAGGAGCCUGUCCUAUAAUCGAUAAUCCCCGUUUAACCUCACCAUAUCUAGCUUAUCAGCCUGUAUACUUCCGUCGCAAGCCUACCACAUGAGCGAAGCUUAGUUAGCCCAACGUCCACACAUAAAUGUGCUCAUAUCGACAAUACGUCAGGUCAAAGUGCAGCAAACGUUAUGGGAUGAGAUUGGCUACACUUUUUAAUUUAAAAGAAACGGAAAACAAUAAUGAAACUUUGUCAGAAGGUGGAUUUAGUAGUAAAAGGAAAAUAUAAAAUUUCUUUUAACUCGGCACUGGGGUGUGUACACACCGCCCGUCACCCUCUUCGAAAAUCUUAAAUUAGUACUUAACCUAUUAUCAAAAAUAAAGAAGAGGCAAGUCGUAACAUGGUAAGCGUACCGGAAGGUGUGCUUGGAAA